Molecule: long non-coding RNA, 449 nt
Filed under: Salvia miltiorrhiza (redroot sage)
Lineage: Eukaryota; Viridiplantae; Streptophyta; Magnoliopsida; Lamiales; Lamiaceae
Description: long non-coding RNA (SMIL_LNC008636)
Source: RNAcentral
CCGUUUCAGACUGCAGAAUUUUCUGCUUUUCUGCCGCGCUUUUUCUGUUGAACAAGUUUUUUUGGUGUAGAGAGAGAAGAUAUUUCUAUUUUAAUUGAGAGGGAGAGAGAGGAUGCUGGUGGUCGUGAUGAUGAUGAUGAUAGAGAUGCUUAUGGGCAUAGAAUUCCGUUGAAAAGGGUUGAGAUUGGGUUGAGGUUAGGAGUUGUUAUUCCGUUGAAAAGGGCAUUUUUGCCUAUUAACACUUUUUGGAAUAGGGGCUUUAACGGCGUCGGACGGAAUUAUUGGGGUCUCCCGUUACAUAGAUCUAGCAUGAACACUUUGCCCGUUGAGACUCGCGAGCUACCCACUGCGCGCUCGACACGUGUAUAUCUUGUCAAGAUUGUUACCUAGUUUUCCCGGUAUUUUCCGCGUGACUCGAGAGUUGUUGUAUAAUGACGUUUUGUAUUUUC